GUGGGGAAUAUUGGGCAAUGGGGGAAACCCUGACCCAGCAACGCCGCGUGAAGGAAGAAGGUUUUCGGAUCGUAAACUUCUAUCCUUGGUGAAGAUAAUGACGGUAGCCAAGAAGGAAGCCCCGGCUAACUACGUGCCAGCAGCCGCGGUAAUACGUAGGGGGCAAGCGUUGUCCGGAAUGAUUGGGCGUAAAGGGAGCGUAGGCGGCCUGGUAAGUCUGGAGUGAAAGUCCUGCUUUUAAGGUGGGAAGUGCUUUGGAUACUGUCGGGCUAGAGUGCAGGAGAGGUAAGCGGAAUUCCCGGUGUAGCGGUGAAAUGCGUAGAGAUCGGGAGGAACACCAGUGGCGAAGGCGGCUUACUGGACUGUAACUGACGCUGAGGCGCGAAAGUGUGGGGAGCAAACAGGAUUAGAUACCCGGGUAGUCC
This 425-nucleotide ribosomal RNA is filed under the name uncultured bacterium. RNAcentral's name for it is "partial 16S ribosomal RNA". It matches the Rfam family "Bacterial small subunit ribosomal RNA", at positions 354 to 796 of the family's 1533-position model. The record is from RNAcentral.